Molecule: transfer RNA, 74 nt
Filed under: Nitrospira sp.
Lineage: Bacteria; Pseudomonadati; Nitrospirota; Nitrospiria; Nitrospirales; Nitrospiraceae
Also listed under: 3 other names
Description: tRNA-Gln
Rfam family: tRNA
About the family: Transfer RNA (tRNA) molecules are approximately 80 nucleotides in length. Their secondary structure includes four short double-helical elements and three loops (D, anti-codon, and T loops).
Source: RNAcentral
UGGGGGAUCGUCUAGCGGUAGGACGCCAGUUUCUGGAGCUGGCUGCCCAGGUUCGAUCCCUGGUCCCCCAGCCA